UGCAGGACAGAGACUCUCUGAUUGAUGCACAAACCAACUCCUAUUUAACAAGUGAAGGGGAAGACAUCACUGUUGUAUGUUUAUUUUCAUCUCCAGGGAGCAGGAGGCUGUUCUGUAAGGAAACAUGUGAAGGAGAAAACAUUCUCAUAGAAACAGACAGAGACGAAGACAAGAGUGGAAGAUACAGCAUUAAAUAUAAAAAGUUAGAUAUUGGAUCAUCUCUUCUAUAUGUGACAAUCACUAAACUCAAACAAUCAGAUUCAGGUUUGUACAGAUGUGGGAUACAUGAAGAAUUGGGUCCAGAUUUAGAAGAAAUAUUCGAAAUAAUUGUUACAGAAGCUUCAAACAGGACUGUUGAACUUCCUGCAACAACACAAACCUCUCCAAUCACGAUGACGACCAAAAAAACGAAAGCAUCAGAAAAGAGUUUAAACUCCACAACAUCCUCACAUCGACACAAAAAUCAAAAUUCAACAACAGGAGUGAGAGCUCUGUCUUUCUCUCCUAUCACCGGUGGGAGCCAUUAGCAGAAUGCUAACACACUACAUCUCCCAGCUCUACUGCUAUGUCUGAGCAUGUUGUGGUCAAAGAGUCUCUUGUAGCACUUUGACCGUAACUUUAUUGACACUCAACAUUCGUCCCCAUUCCGUCCUCUUAAAGUGUCCCCUUCCGGAAGUUCACCACCAUAUUAGCUCCUACACCUCAGUGCAUACUACCUGGAUCCCGUCACCUGAUGCUAAUUGACAAUCACCCACCUGAGA
This is a long non-coding RNA of Oryzias melastigma (Indian medaka), 761 nucleotides long. RefSeq lists it as uncharacterized. NCBI's taxonomy places the organism in Eukaryota, Metazoa, Chordata, Actinopteri, Beloniformes, Adrianichthyidae. The transcript is spliced from 3 exons. The record is from RefSeq and is a predicted model, not a curated record.